CUCCGCCUGCAGGGAGCCCAGCUCAUAGGAAUUGAAGGAGAUGCGCAGGAACGGUGCCAUGAUGGAGCCUGGAAUGAGAUUGUGCAUGGGAAGGGGUGGAGCUGAGGCAGGGGAGCAGCGACAGCACAGAGGCGGCUGGCAGGGAUGCUCAGCACCCGCUCCCCAGAGAGCUUCACCACACAGAGAGCCACUCACCCCAAACGUCCUCGUCCCUACUGCCAGUGGGAACAGCUGGGCUUGCAGCACCUCUGGUAAGACUAAAGGAGGGGACACCAGGCCUGAGCACCAGCGGCUACAGUGGCUCCUUUUCUGUCAGUCUACCAGGCCUGGACCCUGCCCCAUCCCUGAGCUGGGCCCUGGAGGCAUCUGAGCCUGAGCUCCUCAGACAAUCAUCUCUCAUGGCCAAUUACUGAACAUCUAUACACGCCAGGGCCUUGUGUGUGUUGGGCUCUGCACUCGGUGCCAACAGCUGCCCUCUUGUCUCGCUAGGCCCACGAAGCACCUCUUGAUUCUUUGUUGAUUUUGCUUAUAAACACCCAGGCAGAGAGGCACAGCCAAACUGUUUCAUCAACUAAAGGUCCCCAUCCUGUAGAUGGGGAAACUUAGACUCAGACUGAACCAGAACUGAAAGCUAGAGUCAUACACCUCUGCCCUGACUUGUCAGCACACCCUACCCUUCUGAACAAGAGCCCCUCGGGUCACAGGCCUCCUGCCUGUCUAGAUUGCCUGCCGUUUCACACUGAGAAUAGAAGCAGUAGCCAUGCAAGGAGAGAGGGCUGGGAGGACAUGGUACAGGAAUGUGAAGAGAGGAUACAGUUUCAUAUUCUU
RNAcentral lists this long non-coding RNA (828 nucleotides) under Rattus norvegicus (Norway rat). Its description in RNAcentral is "long non-coding RNA NONRATT011271". Lineage: Eukaryota; Metazoa; Chordata; Mammalia; Rodentia; Muridae. The record is from RNAcentral.